UACGGGAGGCAGCAGUAAGGAAUAUUGCGCAAUGGGCGAAAGCCUGACGCAGMGACGCCGCGUGGGGGAUGAAGGUCUUCGGAUUGUAAACCCCUUUCGGCAGGGAAGAUGGARCGAGCAAUCGUUCGGUCGGUACCUNCAGAAGCAGCCACGGCUAACUUCGUGCCAGCAGCCGMGGUAAUACGAAGGUGGCAAGCSUUGUUCGGAUUCACUGGGCGUACAGGGAGYGUAGGCGGUUAGGUAAGCCCUCCGUUAAAUCUUCNGNCCAACCCGGAAAGCGCGGAGGGGACUGCCNGGCUAGAGGACGGGAGAGGAGCGCGGAAUUCCCGGUGUAGCGGUGAAAUGCGUAGAGAUCGGGAGGAAGGCCGGUGGCGAAGGCGGCGCUCUGGAACAUUUCUGAUCGSUGAGGCUCGAAAGCGUGGUGA
Molecule: ribosomal RNA, 425 nt
Filed under: uncultured bacterium
Lineage: Bacteria
Description: partial 16S ribosomal RNA
Rfam family: Bacterial small subunit ribosomal RNA
Source: RNAcentral